CAGAGUUUUGGUUUAUCAAUUAGUUUCACUGUUGCAGACCAUGAAGAGCAAAGCAAUGUGUUCGGAGAACGGAGAGUUAGCUUGGAAGCAAAUGCCAACGAGCCUGAGGAAAAGAACCUAGCUAACGUCAUAUCAACUGAUCUCCACACCAAAACUCUGCAGCAUGAUAAUGACAGAAUAGCUGAAGAGACUGAUAAAGGUACAACCGAAUUAAUCCUGCCCAGACUGACCUAGAAAUUAAGUUAAACGAUGAACUUGCUGAUCCGGGUAUGGACUGUGUUUAAUUUACCAAUUUUAAACAUACUGAGUUCUAAGUCAAAUUGUUGGCUACGUGUAAUUCUAAUCAUUAGCUUUGUCCAUUAUUGUCAUGUUAUAUACUGAAAGGAAGACUUUGUCGUUCCAAAAUCACCAAAUGGUUUAUCAAUUAGUUUCACUGUUGCAGACCAUGAAGAGCAAAGCAAUGUGUCCGGAGAACGGAGAGUUAGCUUGGAAGCAAAUGCCAACGAGCCUGAGGAAAAGAACCUAGCUAACGUCAUAUCAACUGAUCUCCACACCAAAACUCUGCAGCAUGAUAAUGACAGAAUAGCUGAAGAGACUGAUAAAGGUACAACCGAAUUAAUCCUGUAUCCAUAAUAAAAACUCCGCAACAUUGAUGAGUGAAGAUAAUAUGUAUGCUGAACAUCUAAAUCCACCUGUGCCAACUGAUUAUUCACUAUUUUUUUUCUAAAGAUCUUGCUUAGUAAUCUUGCUUCAAGAUUUUCAAUUCACUAAAUUAAACUUGCUAAAUCUCCAG
Molecule: long non-coding RNA, 793 nt
Filed under: Zea mays
Lineage: Eukaryota; Viridiplantae; Streptophyta; Magnoliopsida; Poales; Poaceae
Description: long non-coding RNA (ZMAY_LNC001828)
Source: RNAcentral